Non-coding RNA from Annulohypoxylon moriforme, 89 nucleotides. NCBI's taxonomy places the organism in Eukaryota, Fungi, Ascomycota, Sordariomycetes, Xylariales, Hypoxylaceae. The record is from the annotation of a GenBank genome assembly.
GGGCGUGUAACUCAGUGGUAGAGUGCUCGCUUCGCAUCGUUUCGAUACUGAAAUGCGAGAAGUCCAGGGUUCAACUCCCUGCUCGUCCA